GGUGGAAUAGCCAAGUGGUUAAGGCAAAGGUCUGCAAAAACUUGAUCUUUGUUCAAUCCCGAUUCCACCU
RNAcentral lists this transfer RNA (70 nucleotides) under Peribacillus frigoritolerans. RNAcentral describes it as "tRNA-Cys". It matches the Rfam family "tRNA". From Rfam's summary of the family: Transfer RNA (tRNA) molecules are approximately 80 nucleotides in length. Their secondary structure includes four short double-helical elements and three loops (D, anti-codon, and T loops). Further hydrogen bonds mediate the characteristic L-shaped molecular structure. tRNAs have two regions of fundamental functional importance: the anti-codon, which is responsible for specific mRNA codon recognition, and the 3' end, to which the tRNAs corresponding amino acid is attached (by aminoacyl-tRNA synthetases). tRNAs cope with the degeneracy of the genetic code in two manners: having more than one tRNA (with a specific anti-codon) for a particular amino acid; and 'wobble' base-pairing, i.e. permitting non-standard base-pairing at the 3rd anti-codon position. Lineage: Bacteria; Bacillati; Bacillota; Bacilli; Caryophanales; Bacillaceae. The record is from RNAcentral.